GAAGAGGGGGGCAGCUGUGUCGGUGAUGCCCAGGCACUGAGAGAGAGGCCAAGGACACGGCAGGGAGGGGCCAUGAGGGCAGGUGACAGGCGGGGGGAAAGAGUAACAAGCUGGAGAAGGCUAUAGGAACGGAUACAGGCGGGGACAGUGACAAAACGGGGCGGGGGAGGGGGUUGCAGAGACGGCAAAGACCAUGGCAGUGAGGGCCUGGGUGAGCUGGUGGGACAGCAAACUGGGGGCCAAAGUAACAACUGGGUGGACUAUACAGGUCGUAAAGCUGCAAGGAUACAAAGCAGCCGGAAGGCUGCGUGGAAGAUGUCACAUGGCUGGGGGCAGGUGAAAGGACACUCAAGGGGGCCAGGGCUCCCAAGGGCGGGAGUCGAUGUGAACCGUGGGAACACGUUGGAAGAAGAACUCGAACGCUGGGAAUAUCGAACAGGUGGGCCUAUGACCCGCCACAGCCUCCGAAUCCCGCUCCCGCCCACCGCGCUCCGCCAGCCCGGCGCCCGGCUCCUGGGCCAGCAGCCCCCCCCAGGACCCCCUAGCUGGACGCCAGAAUGUCUCUGCUGCGCAGGAGGAGCAAGAGGAAGAGCAUACAGCAACCCAGAAGUCCCCUCCUCCGGCACUGGCUCUCUAGCGCCCUCUACUGGCAGAGCUCAGCUGGGCCAGCUACAGGAGGCGUGCUCACAGGGUCCAGCUCUGGCAUCGCGGAGCAGGCCGAGAGGAAUGCACU
Manis javanica (Malayan pangolin) is the source of this 733-nucleotide long non-coding RNA. RefSeq lists it as uncharacterized. Lineage: Eukaryota; Metazoa; Chordata; Mammalia; Pholidota; Manidae. The record is from RefSeq and is a predicted model, not a curated record.